UCUGGUAAUGAUGGCAGAGAGGUCACACCCGUUCCCAUACCGAACACGGAAGUUAAGCUCUCUAGCGCCGAUGGUAGUUGGGACCUUGUCCCUGUGAGAGUAGGACGUUGUCAGGC
Molecule: ribosomal RNA, 116 nt
Filed under: Bacillus anthracis (anthrax bacterium)
Lineage: Bacteria; Bacillati; Bacillota; Bacilli; Caryophanales; Bacillaceae
Also listed under: 3 other names
Source: RNAcentral